GCUAUGGCUCAGGAUUCCUGGUCUUUUCACAAGAUAGUCCUCCAUGUCAGUCUUGUUGGAACCAACGGCGAUCACUGUUUUCUUCCUACUACUUGCUCAAAAGUCAGAGAAAGCCUGAUAAACGCUUAUUAAAUUAACUGACCUGCUGGUGUUGCCCCUCAAAAUAUGACAAAUCUGGCAGACAAGGAAGCUGGAGAUGGUCUGAGGAACCAGGCUGUGGGGAGAAAUGGUCAAUUUUGACCCUCAGAGGCUCUCAGAGCUCUUUGAAGAACCCAUCUCAUAUCAUUCUAACACAUGAAAAUGCACCAUGUUCUAGGAUAAACUUCCUUAAUGUGGAAAUAUCAUUUGAGCUGAUGUAAUUUUACAUUUGGUAAACAUUUUAGUUGAAUAUUUCUUCAUGUUAAUUUUGCAGGAGUUAAAAAAAAAUUGGAACAAA
Molecule: long non-coding RNA, 436 nt
Organism: Canis lupus familiaris (dog)
Lineage: Eukaryota; Metazoa; Chordata; Mammalia; Carnivora; Canidae
Exons: 2
Source: RefSeq, a predicted model, not a curated record